GUGUUACGGGACUCAAACAAGAUUAAUAUCGCAAAGAAACGGUGUGAUUAGAGAUAUAGAGAGAAUUUCAAUUCUCCCCGUACAUGGGGAGAGUUUCAACUCCCACCAUAUAAGAGGAGAGCUUUGGGGGGCCUACGUGGGGAGGGGUUACAGGGCACCGUUGGAGGUCGCCUUACCCACCACUCUAGUGGACUAACUAAAUUGGGCUUCUAUUUUUUUUUCAACUGACAUCUCGGCCCCACCUGUCAUUCUCUUCUGUCUCCCCUGCCCGUCCGAGCCCAGGGAGCGCUCUGCCCCCGCGCCGCCGGCGCGCGCGCCACUGCCACCGUCCGGCGCCGCCGCCCGCUCGGCGUCCACCCGCCGCCUCGACCCCGCACGUCCCGCCUCCCCUGUCGGCGCCACCUCCCUACCUUCCCUGGCCGCCACCCCCUACCUCCCCCCCUCCGCUGAUUCCAGCCGCCGGCGCCGACCUGCCCCACGUACGCCUCCCUGCCGGCUGUCCUCCGCAAGGGCCGCCUCCCGACCACCGCCCGGCGGCGCCUCCCCGCCUUCGUCGCCGCGAGGUGGAGCCAGCACCGCCGACGCCCAGGCAAGGUGUUCCUAAGGACUACGAGCAUCGUGAUCCGCAGAUGUUGGAGGAGUUCCUCAAGAUGCAUCAAGGGACCGAGGAUAAAUCGACACAUGAGCAGCUCCGAAACAAUCUCGUCGAGCAUUUGUGGGCGAUCCAUAGUUUUAGGUAGUUGAGGUAUUCAGGCGUAAACCAACUCCUGGCUACCAGCAUCUUGAUGGAGUACUACAAGGAUGCAUCUUGAUGGAGUACUACAAGCAUGCAUCUUCCAAAGGAGGAAGAGGUUGCAAAAAAAAAAGCUAGCAAAGAAGACAUGAGAGACUCUGAAUAUUGGAUCAUUGUAAGUUACAAUGAUAGAUAGCACUGUGGAUCAUUGUAACUCUGAAUAGUAGAUCAUUGUAACUCUGUUACUCUGAAUAUUGGACUCUGAAUAUUAGAUCAUUGUAACUCUGAAUAUUAGAUCAUCUUGAUUCUGCAUUGUGGAUCAUUCUGAAUUAUGUUUGCCUGACUGUAAUAUGCACAAUAAGUGGUUUUUGUUCAUUCUGAAUUAUGUCUGACAUUUUUGCUA
Panicum virgatum (switchgrass) is the source of this 1136-nucleotide long non-coding RNA. RefSeq lists it as uncharacterized. Lineage: Eukaryota; Viridiplantae; Streptophyta; Magnoliopsida; Poales; Poaceae. The transcript has 3 exons. The record is from RefSeq and is a predicted model, not a curated record.